AAAGAAAAUACUAAUUUCAAAAGAAAGAAAAAUUAUCAAAGACAUCCCACCCAAAUCUCCUCUCAAAUCCCUAAAAAGAAAACCUAUUUUCGCAGCUUCUCUUAGAACAAUUCAAGUUCAUUUCGCAUCCCCAAUUUUGCUAUCCCAUCCGAAUUCCUCUGUCCCAACUAUAAAUCUCAAAAACUUUCAGGAAUAGUAGUAUGAAAUGUACUCUCUUCUCCCUUAAUCCUUCUCUUCCUCUACUGUGAAUUGGAAUAACUCCAGAUCAGCAACAAAGGAUUUUUCAAACACUCAAGGCUACCUUCAAGUUAAUUAUCAAGAUAUCACUUCUAGUUCUUCCCUUAAAUGUCUUAUGUUUCUCUCAUGGUUUCUGUUGCACUACAAAAAGUACAACUUAGAGAUGUGUUGGCUUUGGACCUAUAUGCUACCAAGUAUUUGUAAUUGUACAGUUCGAAAAAUAGUUAGUUGCAAGAUCCUAUUAAGCAUUCAUCAGAUAUGCAUGGAAAUAUUAUCCUGUGCGGAAGGAGAAUGCUCGUAAGUAAACUUUGUAUUCAUUUGUAUCAUUAGCUUUAGAUACUAAGGGUCUAUUUAGUUAGUAUAGUGUGAUAAUUAACUUUUGUCUUUCGAAGGAGAAAUGCUAUAAUGAUAAGUCUGCUAUAUCAAAAUAUAGGGUGCUAUUUACUUUGCUAA
Nicotiana tabacum (common tobacco) is the source of this 690-nucleotide non-coding RNA. NCBI's taxonomy places the organism in Eukaryota, Viridiplantae, Streptophyta, Magnoliopsida, Solanales, Solanaceae. The record is from RefSeq and is a predicted model, not a curated record.